AGUUGGCAUGGAUGGUACUGUA
Molecule: microRNA, 22 nt
Filed under: Tribolium castaneum (red flour beetle)
Lineage: Eukaryota; Metazoa; Arthropoda; Insecta; Coleoptera; Tenebrionidae
Description: tca-miR-11617e-5p
Source: miRBase by way of RNAcentral